RNAcentral lists this long non-coding RNA (405 nucleotides) under Citrus maxima (pomelo). RNAcentral describes it as "long non-coding RNA (CMAX_LNC003175)". Lineage: Eukaryota; Viridiplantae; Streptophyta; Magnoliopsida; Sapindales; Rutaceae. The record is from RNAcentral.
UCGGAGUGGUGGGCUGCUGCCCUCACAAGCAUUGUGAGGGCAGCGGUUCAAGGCCCCACAAAAGUAUUUGUGGGGGCUAACGUGCUUAUUUAUUUAAUAUUUCAAAAAGUUUCCUCUCCCUCGUGCAAUACGAGUGGAGUAUGGACAUCCCUCUUCUGUAAGGAAUUAUUUGUCUGGGCAUGUACUUCGCAGAAUUCAAUGUAAUAAUAUAAGUCCCAAUCAUGUAUUUCUGAUUGUAAAUAUCAGUGUAAUAUAUCUGCUAUAAUAGCAGUUGUAAAUAUCUGUGUAAUGCAGUAAUAUGAUGAUUAAUCAGUAUUCAAAAAAAAAAAAAAACUCACAAGCUAGAGUUGCCUAUAAAUUAGGCAUAUGAGUUUCUAAUAUAUAGAUUAAUGAUAAAGAAACAAA